Molecule: long non-coding RNA, 2304 nt
Organism: Papaver somniferum (opium poppy)
Lineage: Eukaryota; Viridiplantae; Streptophyta; Magnoliopsida; Ranunculales; Papaveraceae
Exons: 13
Source: RefSeq, a predicted model, not a curated record
AAACACGUACCAAACCCUAAGAACCAGUUUUAUGUUUGGCUCACAAAACAUAAAAUUAAUAAAUAACACGGAACAAACCCUAAGAUAUGCUCUUCGUUUUUCUCCAUUCUCUUUGAUUUUCAGAGUACUGAUUGCUGGUUUUAGAUUCAUGGAACAGAAAUUGGGGUAAAAGAAAUCCGCCAAACAACUAAACCAUAAUCGUGAACAAGAGUAUAGAACUGAUAAUGGUGGUGCUGCUGAUAUACUACGAGGCAAAAUGAAUUGAUAGGAACUAAAAUGAAUUGGUUGAGUAUCUUAGGUGCGCUGCACAAACUGAUAAUGUGUUAAGUUGAAUGGUCCAUAAUUAUAAAUGGAUUAUUCCGGAUGAUUCAUCUGACAUUCGUAAGCGGAUUUCUGGGGCAUAGAUUUGCUAUUAUGGUAUUGGAAUAACGCUUCAACUCCAUCUUUCAGUUUGAAUUUUCUUCCAAAGGAAAUUAUUUGAAAAUGUUGUAGAAGUGGGAAGCACAUACAAAGUAAAGAAACAAGAUGAGAUACUUAGUGCUGCUAAUUUUGCCGCAAAAAUGUGUUACAAGGUGCCUGGCUGCUCUGAUAUACAACAACCAAGUUUAUGCAAAGUAGGAUCUUGCACUACUUUAUUAAAGAAGCAGGCUUAGACGCUUGCCCAAUUGCAGUGAACAACGCAGUCAACCUAAGGUGCACAAUACUUAUGGAGCUAUAAUGUUCCUCACUUUGAUCCCGAAUCAUGGCAAUACAAUCACAAUGCAAAAAUGGAAUAAUAUAGCUCGGAGGUGGUAUGCACUUCACUCCAGACCAUAGUAUCCAAGCCAAUACGUUCAAGUAUACCUGCGUUUUGGAUGCCACCAAGUUUACAUGAGAAUCCAGCCAAUGGAGUGCACCUUCCAGACACACCAAUGACUGGUGGUCAGAUUGGAAAUCAGGACCCUCGCUCGCCAAACUUAACCAACUUUCUUACCUACAAUUUACUUUCUAAUUACGGUGAGAACAUGAUUUUGUGAGUUGUCCACAGUGAUUCUCUAAUAUUGGUUUAUUUGUUCCCUCUCUCAAUUAGUAGUCGACACUAGAUAUGGAGAAGGCACUCCUUCGCCAGGUUGUAAGCCUUUCAUCAGAACAAACUAAUAUAGUUCCACCAGAACAAAAGGAAUCAAGUACUUCUAUAUAAGAAACAAAUUGUUUGGUGGUUGGUGCAGAGUUGGAGAAACGGAUACAAAGAUCAAGAAAGGUAUAUAGUCUUUACCGUAUUUAGUUAUAAUGUUUUGUUUUCUCACUUUAUAUUUUCAGGCACGAAAUUUUGGUCUGAAUGUCACAAUCAGUUGGAUUACGGUAGUCACUUUCAGAUCAUAUGACCAAGGAGGUUCAAAUUACCAAUUUUAAGGCUAGACUAUCCGAUUGACUGCACGAAAAGGAAGUGUUUUUGUUAUGGCUGACGAUGUUCAGUUGGAGCAACAUUGCAAGGCUAAGGCCAAGGCCAGUACUUACGCAAGGCCAGUGCCACCGGUUCAUCCACUGACAUUUCCCUAAAUAUUUCCAAGCAUGGAGAAGCUUACAUUUUUUCCAUUUGAGGUACAGCUUCAUCUUUGCACCAACUACCACGGUCAUUUUGAUACCAAUCAUUGGAUCAAGGGGAACUCCUACAGAGCAACUUUUAAGACGGUUUAGGAAAACUGAGAUUAUAUUUGUUAGAUACACCAUUUUUCAUGAUAACAUGUUGAUAUCGGGACGAGGCGAAGCCGAGCUUUACCAAAUCAUAUCGGGACUGGGCGAGGCGAAGCCGAGUUUUACCAAAUCAUAUCGUUACUGGGCGAGGCGAAGCCGAGCCUUAUCAAAUCAUAUCGGGACUGGGCGAGGCGAAGCCGAGCUUUGCCAAAUCAUGUCGGUACUGGGCGAGGCGAAGCCGAGCCUUGCCAAAUCAUAUCGGGACUGGGCGAGGCAAAGCCGAGCUUUCCAAAUCAUAUCGGUACUGGGCGAGGCGAACCCGAGAUUUACCAAUAUCGAGGCUGGGCGAGGCGAAGCCGAGCCUUACCAAAUAAUAUCGGGACGGACUGGGCGAGGCGAAGCCGAGCUUUACCAAAUCAAAAAUAUCGUUCAAAGAAAGAGGAAGUGAUGCAUUGUGUUUGUAGUUGGUGCAUGACUACGUCGUUCUAUUUGUAAUUAUAGAUUGAAUUGGUGAACCAAUUCUACAAAGCUGCCCGGGCGUAGCACGGGCACAAAAUCUAAUUAAUACUGAAAAGUGAAAUGUAUAUGUUUCUUCCUUGUGAUGGAUAUAUCUCAUGCUUUUGUUUGUCA